UUCAUCUUGCGGGUAUGACUCGUCCUCGCAUUCUUACUUCGCCUUUGUUUCCUUCAGCUUCUUGAUCCUGAAAUUUUAAGAUAAAUUGUAAGUACUCAGUAUCAUGUUCUUAAGCAAAGCUAUUGUUUUUUGGUUGAAUUAUAGUGUUUUCUCUGACCUAUGUAUAGUGUCAAUAAAAAUCUAAAUUACAAGAUGGAGAUACAUUUUUUGGUGGCAUCUUACAUCACAGUAAUUUACAACCAAGAUAGGCCUACAAUGUCUUUUUGAUAGCAACGAUAAUGCAUAGCUGCAGAUUUUGUCGAAUACACAUAUGUAUUUUGUAUGCAUGACAAAUACUGGGGUCAAAUAGAAUAACAAGUAAAUCAUUCAUUUUGUCUUCAUAUUUACUUGAAGGACUGCAUGUUCUUCAUCUUUGUAAGCCCCAUGUAUUUGCUUGUAAGCUUCAGUAGUGUCAUCUAUCUAUUCUGAUUUAUACACUACAUUCCUAAGCUGAAAUAUUUUUUGUAACUGAAAUAUAUAGUUUGAGUUUCAUUCAGUUAUUUGUCACUUUUUAACUGAAUAUCUUUUUGUAACUGAAAUAUAUGUGCACUUACAAUGCCUGUCUCAUAGGGUUUCUUUGUAACUGAAAUAUAAGCUCUGUCCAGUAAGCAUUUCUUCACCCUUGGGCAACUUUGCACAAAUGGACUGUGUAUUACACUACACGUGCUUCUUUUUGUUAUGGAUGGUUCGGUCUAUGAACCAUGUGAUCAAUGCUUGAUUUCAUAUUGCUCUAUCGUUGUCCUUUGCUGCAUUUGAUGGACUUGUAAACUAUCUCGCAGCACAAAAUUUGACCAUGGAGAUGACUAACAUGGCUUCUCUGUCUUAUGCUCUAUUUGUCAGUGAAAAAUCUUGCACCUUGACCGACAGAAUUAAGAGGGACUAGAAUGGGGAAGGACCUCUACUGUAUCACGAUGGAACUGGUUACUUGAAUGUGAAUGGCCAACUCCAUGCCAGCUAUCUUUUAAUCUUACUAUGCUUUUGCAUUAUCUUCGUCAGUGAGAAGUUGUUAUAUGCUAGAAGACUAGCUUCAAACUCAAUUUAGAACAGACCUAAAUGCAUUCUUUGUCCAGUAGUUAAUUUGGACAUGCCACUUUCUGGCUUGCUCAUAAAUAUCUUGGCUAUUUUGACCCUCAAGCCAUCCAUUAGUACUAUGCUGCUGUACCAAUGCACCUGAUUUUUAUUCUACCAGUUAAUUCAAAAAAUGUCUCUAGAUAUGUGCUUCAUCCACUUACUGCAUAUGACAUCUCCCUAUAUUUUUCUGAACCAUUUAACUGAUUUUUGUUGUAGUCCAAAAUUAUAUGUUUAUGUUUAUUGCCUUUUUUUAGUGUGUUGAUAUUUGAAAGGGAACAGGGCAAUGUGUUGCACUCUUGCUUUUGUUAGAGCACUAUAUUCUAUUGUUAACCAUGCUAUGGUCCAAACUCCUUUUUAUUCUGCUCAUAUAAUAUUGCUCAUCUUUUGUUUUCUGUCCUGAUGCCUCCUAUAUUUAGAGUAGAAAUAUUCUUAAUUUAGUGUUUCUUGAACAUGGCCAGGGCAAUGGAUAAAAUCUACUCUGGAGAGUUGACAGAGGGAGCAAUUGCUAAGUUGACUUUUUUCCUAUGGAUUUGCUUAUCGUGAAGAUGCUUGCAAGGAUGCAAAGGGAGCAGAUCAUUUGGAGAGAUGCCACUGUUUGGUGUUUUUAUGCAUUUUGGUUUGCUUGUAACUAUGUUUGCACUAGCUGGGAGUAAGUGACUUGGCAAGAAGUAUAGGUGUUUUAAUUGAAGGCCUGAAAACCAUGACAAUUCUGUAUGCUCUUACAGUAUGUGCUCUAAUGCCGCUGGUUUAUUAUAAAUCUUGGAUUAGUAAUGAUGUGUAGUGCUGCUGGUUUAUUGCAAAU
RNAcentral lists this long non-coding RNA (1912 nucleotides) under Triticum aestivum (bread wheat). RNAcentral describes it as "long non-coding RNA (TAES_LNC026621)". The record is from RNAcentral. Lineage: Eukaryota; Viridiplantae; Streptophyta; Magnoliopsida; Poales; Poaceae.